GGUAUAUGUGCAACUGUAUACAUAUAUAUAAGUAUACAUAUACCUGUCUAUAUAUCUUUAGCAGGAACUGAUAUUUUGUCUUUACCUGAAUGACAAGACACCUUUUUUCUUUUCUUUUGUUUCUUUCCUCCCUUCACCCCCCACACAUUAAGUGUGCUGUCUUUGGUAUGAGUACACAGGCAAAAAGCUAAUCUGUGAGCUAAUUUCCCUUCAGGAUUCGAAAGAAGCCAUUAUCUACUCCAUACCUCAUCACAGAAAAACACUAUGUGCUGCCAGUGUGGCAGAAUUCUGUGUCACUUGGAUCUUCCCUUAUUUGUAGAAGUGAUAAGUACUGGAUCUGUCAAGUGACAAAAUCAUUGGCUGUGACCUAAAUUCUCCCUAAAACAUGGUAUGGAGAGAGAACCCACACACACAGCUUUAAGUUCUCAAUCCUACUCUGUUUGCAGUUGCUUGCUGUGACCUUCCUUAGGAAAGGAUAAGCUUAUUCACAGAAAAGAAUAAUCACCUCUGCAAAAUGUUUGUUCCCAUUUUAUGAAAGAGUUGAAAGAUUCUGACUUUUCUUAAUUUGCUCAUUGUAUUCCCACUUAACUGGCAUUACCACAACUUGGUAUCUGUUCCUCUUCCACUCACAACAAAUUCCAUACAGGCUUCAAGCCCUCAUAUGUUGUUGGAUUAGACUCCUUCUUUUGUUAAAAAUAAUGAGCAACGCUCAAAAAUUAUUAAAGUAUUAAUCCCUCCAAUUAGUUUAUGUACUCUUUAUUGUGAUUAUGAGAGCUGUAGACCUUAAACUCUAUUCUAAUUAUGAAAUGAGAACACUGAAGCUACUGAGAUACUCUGGUUUGAAGAGAUUGUAAGAGAAAAAAAUGACUAACAGUGAAGCUGAUUAUGCACCAUGGACAGUGCGGAGCAGUGCGGAGGAAUAUUUUUCAAAAAGUUCAGGCAAAGGCAUGAUGUAUCUGCAAACACUAAAAGAAUAUUUUAGGUACGAAAAAAAAAUAUGUUUGUGUGUUUAUGGAUGGAUUAGGGUGUUUCCCCUAAGCAACCAUCACUGUCAGAAUAGCCUCUCAGUUUUAUGCUUCUGUCCAUGCUUCAGUCAGAAGAUCAUCAUCCACGUGAGUGAUGCACAUUUACAACAUGACCAGCACUCUUGACAGUGACAAGAAGGAGGACAGACACUACUGUUGUGUUCAUGCACAAAGCAAUUUUACCCUGGGAGGAGACAACAGAAGAGACUGACUACAAUCAUAUGAUCCCGCUCAGUUUCAUUUCAAAUCAUCCUAAACUGCAUUUGUGCUGACCUGGUCUGUGGUUACUCAAUUUGAUACAGAAUACAAAGAAAUGGCCAUAAGAUAUAACAAAAAAAAAAAAAAAAAAAAGAAAACAGGACUAAAAUAGCAAUGGUAUGAUAUGUGUUUCCAGUUCUUUUCUCUAAGGAUUUGUGUUAGUGGAAAAUACCUACUUCAGCAGUCUGACAGAGGCAAGACUGCUGCCACUCCACAUCCCCAGCUCCAACCUGUAAUGAGGCUGAAUGGAUAUUCCCAGCUGACACACACAGAGCACAAAACCACAUAUAUACACUGCUGGCCAUACAGAUUGUGGAAAGACACACAGCCCACUCACACCAACACUGACAGCACCACCAGCUUCAUCCUGCUGUCUGCUCUAGCUGAGGAGAACAGAGGCCCUUAAGUGGCAGUAUAUAUAUACACAGUCACAAGAUGGAGCCUCCCAGCAGAAGACUUUGGUGUGUCCAGCAGCCGCUCCUGGAUCCUGGUCUCCCCAUUUACUGCCAGCUGGAUGUACAAGCUCUCAAAGCCACAGCCCCACUCCAGCUGCUGGUACAAACCCUCAUCACACGCAUACAGGCAGAGCUGUUGGGAAUUUCCCUGGUCCCUAUAGUCCCUUUCCUGUGCUCUUGCCCCUAGACACCAGCAGCCACUCCUCACCCAGAGAUGGCCCUCAGAGAUCUCCAAACCCAUCCCUGCCCCCAACCCACUCAUCUGCAUUAUCUUUGCCAGCAAUCACACGCACACUUGCCCAGCUGCUGCACCACAAACAACCUCGUCUACCCCCACGAACACAGGAAAUAAAGAGCCCCUUACUAGAAAGCA
RNAcentral lists this long non-coding RNA (2111 nucleotides) under Junco hyemalis (dark-eyed junco). RNAcentral's name for it is "lncRNA (ENSJHYG00000015296.1)". Lineage: Eukaryota; Metazoa; Chordata; Aves; Passeriformes; Passerellidae. The record is from RNAcentral.